AUGAGCCGCCUCAUCAGCACGAUCGGCAGCGGCGUCCGCUCACCGAUGGCGUCCGCGGCCAUCGCCGCCGGCGGCGGCACACAUAAGCGCCCGCGAUGGCCCAGUGUGCGCAUGGAAAGGACAAGAGUCAGGGGUUGUUGCAGCUGCAGCUGUAGCGGCACCAAGACGGAGGCAGAACGUGGGGACACGAGGCUCGUGGUGAUCGUGGGGGCAACGGGCACCGGCAAGACCAAGCUGUCCAUCGACGCGGCCCUAGAGCUCGAUGGCGAGGUGGUGAACGCCGACAAGAUCCAGCUUUACCGCGGCCUCGACGUCACCACCAACAAGGUGAUGCCCGCCGACCGCCGCGGCGUCGUCCACCACCUCCUCGGCGCCAUCCGCGCCAACACCGGCGAGCUGCCCGCCUCCUCGUUCCGCUCGCUCGCCGCCGCCACGGCGGCCGACAUCGCGGCCCGCGGGCGCGUGCCAGUGGUGGCCGGCGGGUCCAACUCCCUCAUCCACGCCUUCCUCGCCGAGCGAUUUGACGACCACGCCCCUCGGGACCCAUUCGCCGCUGCGGCGACCGGAUACCGGCCGGCGCUCAGGUUCCCCUGCUGUCUCCUCUGGGUCGAUGUCGACGAGGCAGUUCUGGACGAAUACCUCGAUCGGCGCGUCGACGAUAUGCUGGGUGAGGGCAUGGUCGAGGAGCUCCGCGAAUACUUCGCGACAACGUCGGCCUCCGAGCGGGCCUCGCACGCCGGGCUGCGCAAGGCCAUCGGAGUACCGGAGAUCGGAGACUACUUCGCCGGGCGCAAGAGCCUCGCCGCCGCAGUAGACGAGAUCAAGGCGAACACGCGGGUGCUCGCGGCGGCGCAGGUCGGCAAGAUCCGGCGCAUGGCAGACGGCUGGGGCUGGCCCGUUCGGCGCCUCGACGCCACCGGCACCGUCCUUGCGCGGCUCGCGGGCGCCGGGCGCGACGCCGAGGCCGCGGCGUGGCAUCGCGACGUGCGCCGGCCGGGCCUCGCCGCCAUGCGGCAGUUCCUACGCAGCCAAGGACUGUCCAGAGACGACGACGCCGACGAAGAGGACGGAGUAGUGACACGGAGACAAUGCCAUGGCAUGGUGGGGUAA
RNAcentral lists this ribosomal RNA (1110 nucleotides) under Triticum aestivum (bread wheat). Its description in RNAcentral is "partial small subunit ribosomal RNA". The record is from RNAcentral. Lineage: Eukaryota; Viridiplantae; Streptophyta; Magnoliopsida; Poales; Poaceae.